GUGUCAGCAGCCGCGGUAAUACGUAGGUGGCAAGCGUUAUCCGGAAUUAUUGGGCGUAAAGCGCGCGUAGGCGGUAAAAUAAGUCUGAUGUGAAAGCCCCCGGCUCAACCGGGGAGGGUCAUUGGAAACUGUUUUACUUGAGUACAGAAGAGGAGAAUGGAAUUCCAUGUGUAGCGGUGAAAUGCGCGGAGAUAUGGAGGAACACCAGUGGCGAAGGCGGCUCUCUGGUCUGUAACUGACGCUGAGGUGCGAAAGCGUGGGGAUCAAACAGGAUUAGAUACCCUGGUAGUCCACGCCGUAAACGAUGAGUGCUAAGUGUUGGGGGGUUUCCGCCCCUCAGUGCUGCAGCUAACGCAUUAAGCACUCCGCCUGGGGAGUGCGGCCGCGAAGCUGAA
This 395-nucleotide ribosomal RNA is filed under the name uncultured bacterium. Its description in RNAcentral is "bacterial SSU rRNA". It matches the Rfam family "Bacterial small subunit ribosomal RNA", at positions 505 to 898 of the family's 1533-position model. The record is from RNAcentral.